AGCGAACGCUGGCGGCAGGCUUAACACAUGCAAGUCGAGCGGGCACUUCGGUGUCAGCGGCAGACGGGUGAGUAACACGUGGGAACGUACCCUUUGGUUCGGAAUAACGCUGGGAAACUAGCGCUAAUUCCGGAUACGCCCUUUUGGGGAACGGCUUGCUGCCGAAGGAUCGGCCCGGGUCUGAUUAGCUGGUUGGGGGGGUAAUGGCCUACCAAGGCGACGAUGAGGAGCUGGUAUGGGAGGAGGAUACGCCACACUGGGACUGCGACACGGCCCAGAACGCUACGGAGGAGUGCAGUGGGGAGUAUUGGACGAUGAGGGCAGGUCUGAUACAGCCAUGCCGCGUGAGUGAUGAAGGGCUUAGGGUUGCAAAGCCCUCUUGUCCGGGACGAUAAUGACGGUACCGGAAGAAUAAGCACCGGCUAACUUCGUG
Molecule: ribosomal RNA, 433 nt
Filed under: uncultured bacterium
Lineage: Bacteria
Description: partial 16S ribosomal RNA
Rfam family: Bacterial small subunit ribosomal RNA
Source: RNAcentral